CUCAGGUCAUGAUCCUGGAGUCCCGGGAUCGAGUCCCGCAUCGGGCUCCCUCCUCAGCGGGGGGUCUGCUUCUCCCUCUGACCCUCUUCCCUCUCGUGCUCUCUGUCUCUCAUUCUCCCUCUCAAAUAAAUAAAUAAAAUCUUUAAAAAAAAAAAAAAAGAAUAGAGGCUAUAUUACAUGUAACAUACAAAGUAUGUUCAUCAACUGUUUCUGUUGUCUGUAAAGCUUCCGGUCAACAGUAGGCUCCUAGUAGUUAAGUUUUGGGGGAGUCAGAAGUUAUACGUGGAUUUUUUACUGCAUCCCUAAACCCUACGUUGUUCAAAGGUCAACCGUAUACAUUUUUUUCUUUUUUCAUCCCCACACAAGCAAACAAAUGAGCGUUCUCCAGAUUUGGGGAGCUCUCAAUGGAUGAGUCCAUAUUAGGCACCUCUGAGAAGCAUUUCUGGAAACAGAAACCCUACCACAGAGCUCACACUACUUGUUGGAGUUGGGGGCUAACAAGGUAGACGAGGCAUUCCGAGAUUUAAGGAUAAGAUCCUACCCAGGGACACACUGCACCUCUUUUUUUUUUCUUUUUUGCCUGUUUGCCUUGUUUUUGUUUGUUUGUUUGUUUGUUUAUAAUAUACUGAGUUGAUUCAAAGGACUUAGAGUCCAGUUGGGGAGAUAUAUAUUUAUGAAUUUAAAAAAAAAUGUAAGAAUUCCUGGGAAGUGAAUAUGCUCGCAGGCACGUGUAUCUUAAAGACACGACGGGCAGUAGGAGUUAAGGUGGGAGACUUACUUCUCAGGGCUGGAGCAGAAAAGACUUUGGGCUCAUAAUGGAAAAUUUGGGUUUCCAGCUUGGCUCUGUGUGACCUUGGACAAGCCCAUUCCGCCUUUCUUCGUCCUCAUCAGGAAGUCAGCAAAGGAAGCCUCAAAGCCUGGCAGGAUCUACAUUUUUUGAAAUCUGGACCCUGAAACCUGCUCUCAACCUAGGCUUGCUGAUGAGUGCAGCCAGCACUCUGCCCUCGUUGUCCAAACAGCUUCUGCAGGACCACCAAACACGUCCUGGGCACAGCCAGCCGCGUGGAGGGCAGCUUUCACCCAGAAAAUGACGCUCCUGCACGUCCAAGGAACAUGUGACCUCAUUACAAAUUCUUCAUAACCAAUUCUUCGAGGUCACCCAAGAACCCCUGCUUGACGAGGGCCCCAGAUCACCAUGGAUGUACUGGAAUGUCCUGUAGCCUCAUGGCCUGAGACGUGUGAUGCUGCUGGACUUUUCCAGGACCUCAGCGGGGAACCCCACCCCAGAGCCUUCCAUGAAUCAGAAAAUUUUAAAUGUAAAAUCGAAAAAUGUUACACUGGAGGCUCCCAUCAUAUUUCUGCAGUGUGGCCUUCGAGACUCACCUAAAACUGUGAGUGAAAUUGUUGCACUUUAAUAUCAUGUUAGGAAAACUCCUCCUCCCUCCCCACCAAAAAAAAAACUGGUCCUAGAGAGCCAACAAAGGUUUGAUCUGGAUGAGUGCCCCGUUGGCCCCCUUCCGUGGUACAGAUGAUAAAAGGGAGGCCCAGAGAGAAGUGACUGGUUUGGCUGGGGUCACUGAGUGUCACUGCGGAGCACGCCAGCGAUUUCCCACUGUUCCUGCAAAACAGCGGGAACUACGGGGGCCAAACUUCCAGAAACCCCUCCUGCAUCGCUGCCUCAGAAUGAAGUCUGUCAGUGUCUCCCAGUGGAAUUCCGGACGCAGGUCCACGGACCCCCCCGCCUCCACCCGCACCUGCGCCCGGCUGGAUGUGCACCUGCUCCCGCAGACAGCGCAGGGCCCCGAGAGGUCUGGGCCUGAGGUCAGCAAACCGGCAGACGGAGGCCGAAAUCUGGCCCUCAGACCUGUUUUGAUUGGCUCGUGACGUUUUACAGUUUUGUGAAUCACUUGCCAACGUUUCAACAUUAGGAAACGUCAAUAAAAAUAUGGCUUCCACUUCUGCAGAAUGAGCUCUGGCGACACGAGGCUUGUUUUCCUGCCUGGCAGCCACCUGCCGGCGCUCCCAGCGGCUGCCCCUCGGAGGUGGGGAUGUGGGGCCGUGGCUCCGAAGCCCCAUCCCCGCAGCCCUCACGCCGCCCACCCUCUGCCCACGGGGGCCUCGCUCUAGUCAACUUGACCUGCCGUUCUUCCUGGAGCAGGGGUAAGAGGAAGGGGAAAUGCUUUCCAUACCUGGCUCCAUCGAGGCAAAGACAGCAAAGCUCAGCCAAGAGGGCUUCGUGUUCCAGCGAAAAAAAAUCUUUUCUCCCCAGCUGCGCCCCCACUUAGCUCCCUCCUCACCACGGACACCUGAGUUUGCUACCCACGCUAAUUUCUUUCUGCUGCACCCAGGACAAAAGGGAAGGUGAGCAUUUUAGUCGUUUGCUGUGAGAAAACUGAGGCCCUGGCAGGUGGCCAUCCACCAGAUACAGGGAGCAGACUAGGAGUGGGGACCCCGAGGCCCAGGGUGUCUGAGGUCUAGGGCUUCUUUCCAGCCCUAACGCUCCAGGACCAAGUCACCAGCAUUUGUUGGCCAUUUGUUGGUUCUUCUGCCCCAGGGACAGAUAAUGUAUCUCAGGGUGGGAGCCAAAUUCGAUGCACUCAGCCUGCCCCCGCCCCAACCCCCCAGCUUUUCCCAAGAGCCACAUCCAGGCUCAGGAAGGAAAAGGACUCGAGUUCAGCCAGGCUGAGGGCAGUCACCACUGGUAAGAUGUUCAGCUUGGCAUUUCUGCUACUUUCCCGACCAUCAGGCCAUCCUCUGUUCCUGAUGACAUCCCACCCUCAGGGCCCUGGAGCCCAGUCCUGUCUCCAGGAUGUGGGUCUGGCCACACCCAGACACCUGCAGCUUUCAGAAGAGGGGGAGCAGAGUCCCAGACAAGGCCUGCCGUGGGAGGUCAGCACCCUGACCGGAACAGGGCAGCCCCCCAAGCCAGGGCCCCUCUCAGCUCCCUCACAGUUGUGGUGACAAGUGCCCAGCCCGUACAUGCUCCCAGCAGCUGGUAGAAGCCUAUUCACAUCUAGUCCUCAAAACCGGUGAAUCAAUGUGGGAACAGAUUCUUGUGCAGUUGCCUGGAAUAGGGAGCCGUGCUUGCUGGGUAAAUGGCAAAGGAUGUAAGUCCUUCAUUUCACUAGAAAAUGAGUGGAGAGAAUGCUCUGGAGUGGAAGGAGGUGGCGCAAACUUCUUUGGCCAACCAGGUGAGUUCUCAGUGCAGAACGCUUUGCUCCUUUGUUUUUCCCCUUUGUUUAGGGAAAAAGUACCAUGCGCCUAUAUGGCUGAGUGAAAAAAACAACAAAAAAUGCGCAGAAACAAUGCGUUUAGAAUGCUACUUUUAUGGUAGAAUGAGGGGGAAAAAAGAAUCUCAUUCAGGCUUGCUUGGAUUUACAUCAAGAAAAUAUGGAAGGAUACACAAGAAGCUAACAAAAAUAGUUGCUGGGGGACAAGGGAGAAGAAUACAUCUCAGAGUAUACAUUUUAAAAGAAAAUAAAAUGUAAACUAAAAAUACCACAAACAACUCAUAAAUAGUUUAAAAAGCAGAAGAGGAACUCCCACCCUUAAUCCUACUCCUGUAAAAGCAUAUUCAUGUGUGCUUAUUCUCUUUCUGUUUUUAUCCCUAUGCUUUUAUAUUUUAUACAUGCAUACAGCCACAGGGCACAGAAAAGUGUCUAAUUAUUUCAAUGAACAUCAGAAGCGCUUCACAGGGUGCCAGGUAGGACUCAUUUUGGUUGGAUACCUAAAAUUCCAUCAGCUUUCUUAUUUCUAAGGACCCUCGGUCUUUAUUUCUUCCUUUCUAAAGCUAACAGGGUUGAUUCGCUCUAAAGCUCAUCACUCAGCCGAAUCAUGGCUGCGACCUGGUCGAUGGAAGAACAAAACAGAGACUGUCUCAUCCGAGGACACAGCGGAAAAACCGAGCCAGGACCCACGCCUUUCCCCCAGGCCACUGGGAUUGCUCAUCGACCUAACACAGCGGGAGUUCCCACCAAGGGUUUUCAUACCCCUUAGAGCUAAGAGUUCUUUCAGAUCUGUUUACUUUUCAUUUUAAAAUGAUUAUAGGGGUGCCUGGGUGGCUCAGUUGGUUGAGCGACUGCCUUCGGCUCAGGUCAUGAUCCUGGAGUCCCUGGAUCGAGUCCCACAUCGGGCUCCCUGCUCGGCAGGGAGUCUGCUUCGUCCUCUGACCCUAUCCCCUCUCAUGUGUUCUCUCUCUCUCAUUCUCUCUCUCUCAAAUAAAUAAAUAAAAUCUUUAAAAAAAAUAAAAAAAAUAAAAUGAUUAUAGACUCACAGGAAGUUGCAAAAAUAGGACAGAGGGCCCACGUACCCUUCACCCAGCUCCCCCCCAGUGGUUACAUCUUAAAUAAGCACAGCACAGUAUCAAGGCCAAGAAACUGACUUUGAUACAAUGUGUGUAGUGCUGGGCCAUUUCACCACAAAUUCCCAUAACCGCCACCCCAGGCAAGAUACAGAAUUAUUCCAGAACCAGAAAGGUUUCCCUCAGGCGCCCCUUCCGCCCACUCCCAGUCCUGUCCCUAAUCCCUGGCAACCAGGAACCUCUUCUCCAUCUCUCUAAUUUUGUCAUUUCAAGAAUGUAUAAAUGAGGGGCACCUGGGUGGCUCAGUCGGCUAAGUGUCUGCCUUCGGCUCAGGUCAUGGUCCCAGGGUCCUGGGAUCGAGCCCGCAUCGGGUUCCCUGCUCAGCCCCUUCUCCUCUCUCUGCCCCUGCUUCUGUGCACUCUCUCGCUCUCUCUCAAAUAAAUAAAAUCUUUAAAAAAAAAAAAAAAGAAUGUAUAAAUGAAAUCAUACAGUAUGUGACCAAUUUGAGGUUGGCUUUUGGGGGGCUACUCCAAAAUAAACUUAUGAAUAUUCAUAUACAGGUUUUUGUGUGGACAUAAGCUUCCAUUUCUCUGGGAUAAAUGUGUCAUUGCUAGGUCACACGUCAGCUUACUUUUUUUUUUUAAGAUUUUAUUUAUUUAUUUGGGGGGUUUUAUUUAUUUAUUUUUAUUAUUAUGUCAUGUU
Mirounga angustirostris (Northern elephant seal) is the source of this 5002-nucleotide long non-coding RNA. RefSeq lists it as uncharacterized. The transcript has 4 exons. Lineage: Eukaryota; Metazoa; Chordata; Mammalia; Carnivora; Phocidae. The record is from RefSeq and is a predicted model, not a curated record.